GAAUCACCUUAUGGGGCAAGAGUUGCUUCAGUGGGGCUUUGGUGUUCACUGAGUCUGCCCCCUGAGUGUGUGCCU
Molecule: microRNA precursor, 75 nt
Filed under: Myotis davidii
Lineage: Eukaryota; Metazoa; Chordata; Mammalia; Chiroptera; Vespertilionidae
Description: mir-9229 microRNA precursor family
Rfam family: mir-9229 microRNA precursor family
Source: Rfam by way of RNAcentral